GAGUUUGAUCCUGGCUCAGGAUGAACGCUGGCGGCGUGCCUAAUACAUGCAAGUCGAGCGAACGGACGAGAAGCUUGCUUCUCUGAUGUUAGCGGCGGACGGGUGAGUAACACGUGGAUAACCUACCUAUAAGACUGGGAUAACUUCGGGAAACCGGAGCUAAUGCCGGAUAAUAUUUUGAACCGCAUGGUUCAAAAGUGAAAGACGGUCUUGCUGUCACUUAUAGAUGGAUCCGCGCUGCAUUAGCUAGUUGGUAAGGUAACGGCUUACCAAGGCAACGAUGCAUAGCCGACCUGAGAGGGUAAUCGGCCACACUGGAACUGAGACACGGUCCAGACUCCUACGGGAGGCAGCAGUAGGGAAUCUUCCGCAAUGGGCGAAAGCCUGACGGAGCAACGCCGCGUGAGUGAUGAAGGUCUUCGGAUCGUAAAACUCUGUUAUUAGGGAAGAACAUAUGUGUAAGUAACUGUGCACAUCUUGACGGUACCUAAUCAGAAAGCCACGGCUAACUACGUCG
This 517-nucleotide ribosomal RNA is filed under the name uncultured microorganism. Its description in RNAcentral is "bacterial SSU rRNA". It matches the Rfam family "Bacterial small subunit ribosomal RNA", at positions 9 to 508 of the family's 1533-position model. The record is from RNAcentral.